This 263-nucleotide ribosomal RNA is filed under the name uncultured bacterium. Its description in RNAcentral is "partial 16S ribosomal RNA". It matches the Rfam family "Bacterial small subunit ribosomal RNA", at positions 524 to 777 of the family's 1533-position model. The record is from RNAcentral.
UACGAAGGGGGCUAGCGUUGCUCGGAAUCACUGGGCGUAAAGCGCACGUAGGCGGCUUUGUAAGUUAGAGGUGAAAAGCCCCAGGGCUUAACCCUGGAAAUUGCCGUUUUAAGUACUAGCGAUCGCUAGAAUCGUGGAGAGGUGAGUGGAAUUCCGAGUGUAGAGGUGAAAUUCGUAGAUAUUCGGAAGAACACCAGUGGCGAAGGCGACUCACUGGACACGUAUUGACGCUGAGGUGGCGAAAGCGUGGGGAGCAAACAGGG